AUGCAUGUCUAAGUACAAGCCUGAAUAAGGUGAAACCGCGAAUGGCUCAUUAAAUCACACCUAAUGUACCGGACAGUUCCAAUUACUUGGAUAACUGCGGUAAUUCUGGAGCUAAUACAUGCUUAAAAGCCCUGACUUACGGAAGGGCGCAUUUAUUAGAUCAAAACCAAACCGCUUGCGGUUUUAUUGGUGAAUCUGAAUAACUCUAUGCUGAUCGUAUGGCUCAACGCCGACGACGUGUCCGUCCAAGGUGUGCCCUAUCAACUGUCGACUGUGGCAUAGACGCCCACAGUGGUUUUGACGGGUAACGGGGAAUUAGGGUUCGAUUCCGGAGAGGGAGCCUGAGAAACGGCUACCACU
RNAcentral lists this ribosomal RNA (360 nucleotides) under Corycaeidae sp. USNM IZ 1448516. RNAcentral's name for it is "SSU rRNA". It matches the Rfam family "Eukaryotic small subunit ribosomal RNA", at positions 51 to 414 of the family's 1831-position model. The record is from RNAcentral. RNAcentral also lists the same sequence under 1 other name. Lineage: Eukaryota; Metazoa; Arthropoda; Copepoda; Poecilostomatoida; Corycaeidae.